This is a non-coding RNA of Hordeum vulgare subsp. vulgare (domesticated barley), 136 nucleotides long. The record is from Rfam. Lineage: Eukaryota; Viridiplantae; Streptophyta; Magnoliopsida; Poales; Poaceae.
AACAUACUCCCUCCGUCUUAAAAUUUUUGUCUUUGUUUUGUUUAGAUAUGAAUGUAUCUAGUCAUGGUUAGCAUUUAGAUACAUCCAUUUCUAAACAAACGCUAAGACAAGAAUUUUAGAACGGAGGGAGUAAAAA